GAUGAAGAACGCAGCGAAAUGCGAUAAGUAAUGUGAAUUGCAGAAUUCAGUGAAUCAUCGACUCUUUGAACGCACAUUGCGCCCCCUGGUAUUCCGGGGGGCAUGCCUGUCCGAGCGUCAUUACAACCCUCAAGCUCAGCUUGGUGUUGGGCCCCGCCGCCCCGGCGGGCCCUAAAGUCAGUGGCGGUGCCGUCCGGCUCCGAGCGUAGUAAUUCUUCUCGCUCUGGAGGUCCGGUCGUGUGCUCGCCAGCAACCCCCAAUUUUUUUCAGGUUGACCUCGGAUCAGGUAGGGAUACCCGCUGAACUUAAGCAUAUCAAUAAGCGGAGGA
RNAcentral lists this unclassified non-coding RNA (329 nucleotides) under soil metagenome. RNAcentral describes it as "partial contains 5.8S ribosomal RNA, internal transcribed spacer 2, and large subunit ribosomal RNA". The stretch from base 1 to 120 matches the Rfam family "5.8S ribosomal RNA", at positions 35 to 154 of the family's 154-position model. The record is from RNAcentral.